This 312-nucleotide unclassified non-coding RNA is filed under the name plant metagenome. Its description in RNAcentral is "partial contains 5.8S ribosomal RNA, internal transcribed spacer 2, and large subunit ribosomal RNA". The stretch from base 1 to 103 matches the Rfam family "5.8S ribosomal RNA", at positions 50 to 154 of the family's 154-position model. The record is from RNAcentral.
GAAAUGCGAUAAUUAAUGUGAAUUGCAGAAUUCAGUGAAUCAUCGAGUCUUUGAACGCACAUUGCGCCCCCUGGUAUUCCGGGGGGCAUGCCUGUGAGCGUCAUUGCUGCCCUCAAGCACGGCUUGUGUGUUGGGCUUCCGUCCCUGGCAACGGGGACGGGCCCAAAAGGCAGUGGCGGCACCAUGUCUGGUCCUCGAGCGUAUGGGGCUUUGUCACCCGCUCCCGUAGGUCCAGCUGGCAGCUAGCCUCGCAACCAAUCUUUUUAACCAGGUUGACCUCGGAUCAGGUAGGGAUACCCGCUGAACUUAAGC